RNAcentral lists this ribosomal RNA (305 nucleotides) under uncultured bacterium. Its description in RNAcentral is "bacterial SSU rRNA". It matches the Rfam family "Bacterial small subunit ribosomal RNA", at positions 338 to 640 of the family's 1533-position model. The record is from RNAcentral.
CCUACGGGAGGCAGCAGUGAGGAAUAUUGGUCAAUGGCCGAAAGGCUGAACCAGCCAAGUCGCGUGAGGGAAGAAUGUCCUAUGGAUUGUAAACCUCUUUUGUCAGGUAGCAAAGUCACCCACGUGUGGGUGUUGGAGAGUACCUGAAGAAAAAGCAUCGGCUAACUCCGUGCCAGCAGCCGCGGUAAUACGUAGGGAGCAAGCGUUAUCCGGAUUUAUUGGGUGUAAAGGGUGCGUAGACGGAGAAGCAAGUUAGUUGUGAAAUCCCUCGGCUUAACUGAGGAACUGCAACUAAAACUACUUCC